RNAcentral lists this ribosomal RNA (495 nucleotides) under uncultured bacterium. Its description in RNAcentral is "partial 16S ribosomal RNA". It matches the Rfam family "Bacterial small subunit ribosomal RNA", at positions 28 to 507 of the family's 1533-position model. The record is from RNAcentral.
GACGAACGCUGGCGGCGUGCCUAAUACAUGCAAGUAGAACGCUGAAGGAGGAGCUUGCUUCUCUGGAUGAGUUGCGAACGGGUGAGUAACGCGUGGGUAACCUGCCUGGUAGCGGGGGAUAACUAUUGGAAACGAUAGCUAAUACCGCAUAAUAUUGACUAUUGCAUGAUAGUCAGUUGAAAGGUGCAACUGCACCACUACCAGAUGGACCUGCGUUGUAUUAGCUAGUUGGUGGGGUAACGGCUCACCAAGGCGACGAUACAUAGCCGACCUGAGAGGGUGAUCGGCCACACUGGGACUGAGACGCGGCCCAGACUCCUACGGGAGGCAGCAGUAGGGAAUCUUCGGCAAUGGACGGAAGUCUGACCGAGCAACGCCGCGUGAGUGAAGAAGGUUUUCGGAUCGUAAAGCUCUGUUGUAAGAGAAGAACGAGUGUGAGAGUGGAAAGCUCACACUGUGACGGUAUCUUACCAGAAAGGGACGGCUAACUACGUG